Molecule: long non-coding RNA, 1332 nt
Filed under: Taeniopygia guttata (zebra finch)
Lineage: Eukaryota; Metazoa; Chordata; Aves; Passeriformes; Estrildidae
Description: lncRNA (ENSTGUG00000020844.1)
Source: RNAcentral
AUGUCACCUGUGGGGCCACCGCGCUGGGGACAGAGGGGACACAGAAGGGACAGGGAGGGGACAGAGCCACUGUGUGACCGCCGGGUCAGCGCUGUCCCCAGGGCCACCCCUGAUGUCACCUGUGCCACCCCAGUGUUCCCAGGGCCACCCUGGUGGCACUCACCACUGUCCCCAGUGUCCACAAUGCCAGACCCCCAGUGUCCCCAGUGCCACCCUGAUGUCACCUGUGCCACCCCCAGUGCCCCCAGUGUCACUCACCCGCUGUCCCCAGAGCCACCCCCCAACGUCCCCAGGGCCCCAAUGAUCCCAGGGCACCCCUGGUGUCCCCUGGGUCACCCUGAUGUCCCCAGUGCCACCCCCUGGUGUCACUCACCCGCUGUCCCCCGCUGUCCCCUCUGGCUCCCACUGCCAUCGGAGCCGCCCCGAGGCCACCAGCACUGGGGACAGAGGGGACACUGGGACAGGGACGGCGGGUACAGCCACCACACUGUCCUCACAGUGUCCCCAGCCUCUCCUAAGGUGUCCCAAAGUGUCCCCAAGGAAUUCCAGGAAUGUCCCAACACCCCAAAGUGUCCCCAAAGUGUCCCCAACCCCCCAAACCAUUCCCAGUGUCCCCAACAGGCCCAAAGUGUCCCCAGUGUCCCCCCAAUGUCCCCAAACUGUCCCAAAUGUCCCAAGAAUGUCCCCAACUCCCCCAACGUGUCCUCAAGGUGUCCCCAACCCUUUUCAGGUGUCACCAGGUGUCCCAGAUUCUCUUUGAACACCUCCAAAGUGUCCCCAAAGUGUCUCCACCACCUGCAAUGUCCCCAGUGUGUCCCCCAAAUCCCCCAAAAGUGUCCCCAGUCCUCCCCCAAUGCCUCCAAAGUGUCCCCAAGGUGUCCCCACCCCCCCCGACUGCCCCCAGACUAUCCCCAGAGUGUCCCCAGUCCUGACAAAGUGUCCCCAAGUGUGCCCAGGUGUCCCCAAAGUGUCCCCAGUCCUCCCACAAAGCCUCCAAAGUGUCCCUGCAGUGUCCCAAGUGUCCCUGCAGUGUCCCUCAGUGUCCCCACAGUGUCCCCGCAGUGUCCCCGCAGUGUCCCUCAGUGUCCCCACAGUGUCCCCGCAGUGUCCCUCAGUGUCCCCACAGUGUCCCCGCAGUGUCCCCGCAGUGUCCCUGCAGUGUCCCCAGUGUCACUGACCCCGCAGUUGGUGCUGGGCCUGUCCCAGGCGCUCACUGAGGGUCCCCAGGGCCCCGAUGGCCAUGGUGACAUCGGCCAGGGCCACACCCAGUGUUCCCAGCAGCCUGGGGACAGCAAUGGGGACAGACCAGUACAAACCAGUACAAACCAGUAA